UACAGAGGGUGCGAGCGUUAAUCGGAUUUACUGGGCGUAAAGGGCGCGUAGGCGGUUAUAUGAGUGUGAUGUGAAAGCCCCGGGCUUAACCUGGGAAGUGCAUCGCAAACGAUAUAACUGGAGUAUAUGAGAGGGUGGCGGAAUUUCCGGUGUAGCGGUGAAAUGCGUAGAGAUCGGAAGGAACGUCAAUGGCGAAGGCAGCCACCUGGCAUAAUACUGACGCUGAGGCGCGAAAGCGUGGGGAGCGAAC
Molecule: ribosomal RNA, 250 nt
Filed under: uncultured prokaryote
Description: partial 16S ribosomal RNA
Rfam family: Bacterial small subunit ribosomal RNA
Source: RNAcentral